This 371-nucleotide ribosomal RNA is filed under the name uncultured organism. RNAcentral describes it as "partial 16S ribosomal RNA". It matches the Rfam family "Bacterial small subunit ribosomal RNA", at positions 527 to 896 of the family's 1533-position model. The record is from RNAcentral.
GAAGGGGGCUAGCGUUGUUCGGAAUUACUGGGGCGUAAAGCGCAUGCAGGCGGAUCGCUAAGUCGGGGGUGAAAGCCCGAGGCUCAACCUCGGGAACUGCCUUCGAUACUGGCGAUCUUGAGUCCGGGAGAGGUGAGUGGAACUCCGAGUGUAGAGGUGAAAUUCGUAGAUAUUCGGAAGAACACCAGUGGCGAAGGCGGCUCACUGGCCCGGUACUGACGCUGAGAUGCGAAAGCGUGGGGAGCAAACAGGAUUAGAUACCCUGGUAGUCCACGCCGUAAACGAUGGAUGCUAGCCGUCAGCCAGCUUGCUGGUUGGUGGCGCAGCUAACGCAUUAAGCAUCCCGCCUGGGGAGUACGAUCGCAAGAUUA